CAGUAGGGAAUCUUCCACAAUGGGCGAAAGCCUGAUGGAGCAACGCCGCGUGUGUGAUGAAGGGUUUCGGCUCGUAAAACACUGUUGUAAGAGAAGAAUGACGUUGAGAGUAACUGUUCAAUGUGUGACGGUAUCUUACCAGAAAGGAACGGCUAAAUACGUGCUAG
This 167-nucleotide ribosomal RNA is filed under the name uncultured bacterium. RNAcentral describes it as "partial 16S rRNA". It matches the Rfam family "Bacterial small subunit ribosomal RNA", at positions 352 to 511 of the family's 1533-position model. The record is from RNAcentral.